Molecule: transfer RNA, 92 nt
Organism: Verticillium dahliae VdLs.17
Lineage: Eukaryota; Fungi; Ascomycota; Sordariomycetes; Glomerellales; Plectosphaerellaceae
Rfam family: tRNA
About the family: Transfer RNA (tRNA) molecules are approximately 80 nucleotides in length. Their secondary structure includes four short double-helical elements and three loops (D, anti-codon, and T loops). Further hydrogen bonds mediate the characteristic L-shaped molecular structure. tRNAs have two regions of fundamental functional importance: the anti-codon, which is responsible for specific mRNA codon recognition, and the 3' end, to which the tRNAs corresponding amino acid is attached (by aminoacyl-tRNA synthetases). tRNAs cope with the degeneracy of the genetic code in two manners: having more than one tRNA (with a specific anti-codon) for a particular amino acid; and 'wobble' base-pairing, i.e. permitting non-standard base-pairing at the 3rd anti-codon position.
Source: Rfam
UUCCGAUUAGUCUAGUGGUUAGGAUAUCGGCUUGUCAUCUUAUCAAAAAGAAACAUUCGCCGGGGACCGGGGUUCAAUUCCCCGAUCGGAAG